This 253-nucleotide ribosomal RNA is filed under the name uncultured bacterium. Its description in RNAcentral is "partial 16S ribosomal RNA". It matches the Rfam family "Bacterial small subunit ribosomal RNA", at positions 524 to 776 of the family's 1533-position model. The record is from RNAcentral.
UACGUAGGGGGCAAGCGUUGUCCGGAAUCAUUGGGCGUAAAGCGCGUGUAGGCGGUCCGGUAAGUCCGCUGUGAAAGUCGGGGGCUCAACCCUCGGAUGCCGGUGGAUACUGUCGGGCUGGAGUGCGGAAGAGGCGAGUGGAAUUCCUGGUGUAGCGGUGAAAUGCGCAGAUAUCAGGAGGAACACCAAUUGCGAAGGCAGCUCGCUGGGACGUUACUGACGCUGAGACGCGAAAGCGUGGGGAGCAAACAGG